AUGGAAGGGGGUGCCAGUGUAGCUGGAAAGGCUGAGUUUAAGGAGUGCUUACGCCUGACUUGGAGCCAGCCUUAUAUUCUUCGACUUGUUUUCUCUGCUGGCAUCGGCGGUCUUCUUUUCGGAUAUGAUACAGGUGUCAUAUCUGGAGCACUUCUGUUCAUCCGAGAUGAUUUUAUCGAGUUACAAAAGAACACUACUCUAAGGGAAACAAUAGUGAGUAUGGUUGUAGCUGGAGCUAUUGUUGGAGCUGGACUUGGUGGCUGGAUGAAUGACAGAUUUGGAAGGAGGCCUUCCCUCAUUAUCGCAGAUGUUCUGUUCCUUGCAGGUGCCGCUAUCAUGGCCUUUGCCCCGUCACCUGCUGUUAUCAUUGUUGGGAGGGUCUUUGUUGGUCUUGGAGUUGGAAUGGCUUCCAUGACAGCUCCUCUGUAUAUCUCCGAAGUCUCCCCGGCUAGAAUAAGAGGGGCGCUAGUGAGCACAAAUGGCCUUCUUAUCACUGGAGGGCAGUUCAUGGCAUACCUUAUUAAUCUGGCAUUCACCAAGGUGCCGGGAACUUGGAGGUGGAUGCUUGGCAUUGCAGGAUUCCCCGCCCUUCUUCAGUUCAUACUAAUGUUGACGCUCCCAGAAUCACCAAGAUGGUUAUACAGGCAGGGUAGGAAAGAGGAAACUGCUGCCAUUCUGCGGAAGAUUUACCCUGCAAAUGAGGUGGAAGAAGAGAUUGAGUCCUUGCGAAAAUUAGUUGAAGAUGAGAUGGUCCUGGAGGGGUCCAUAGGCGAGCAGAGCGUAUUUGGCAAGCUGAAGAAAGCAUUUGGAAGCAAGGUUGUCCGCCGUGGCCUCAUGGCCGGUGUCAUUGUGCAGGUCGCCCAGCAAUUUGUCGGCAUCAACACUGUCAUGUACUACAGCCCGACGAUCGUCCAGCUGGCGGGUUUCGCGUCCAACGACACGGCCAUGGCCCUCUCACUCAUCACCUCAGGACUCAAUGCCGUCGGCUCGAUCGUGAGCAUGUUCUUUGUGGACAGGGUUGGCCGGAGGCGCCUGAUGCUCCUCAGUCUUGUUGGCAUCGUCGUGUGGCUCGCUGUGCUUGGCAGCACUUUCCUCAGAGCCGCACACAAUGCUCCACCUGUCAGCGAUGUGGAGACGCGUCCGUUUGCUAAUCAGACGUGCCCAGAGUACAACCCCAACGUCCACUGGAGCUGCAUGGACUGCCUCAGGGCCGCAUCCACGUGCGGGUUUUGUGCUCAUGAAGGAAACGCGCUUCGUCCCGGCGCUUGCCUGGCACUGAACAACGAAACGCGAGGGGUGUGCCAUGCCGACCACCGCGAGUUCUACUCGGAAGGGUGCCCAAACAAGUAUGGGUGGCUGGCGCUGCUCGCGCUGGCCGCAUACAUUGUCUCCUACUCGCCCGGCAUGGGCACCGUGCCAUGGAUCGUCAACUCGGAGAUAUACCCGCUGCGCUUCAGGGGAAUCUGCGGUGGCAUCGCCGCGGUGGCCAACUGGGUGUCCAACCUCAUCGUGACGCAGACGUUCCUGACCCUGACCAAGGCGCUGGGCUCGGCGGCCACCUUCUUACUCUUCUGCGGCGUCUCGUUCAUGGCGCUCAUCGUGGUGUUCCUCACCGUGCCGGAGACCAAGGGCCUGCAGUUCAAGGAGGUGGAGAAGAUGCUUGGGAGCAAGAACUACAGGCCUUGGAAGCGGUACCACCCGGAGGCACCGACAAAAGGGCGCGAGAUUGGGGUCGCUAUGCUAUGA
RNAcentral lists this ribosomal RNA (1746 nucleotides) under Triticum aestivum (bread wheat). RNAcentral describes it as "partial small subunit ribosomal RNA". The record is from RNAcentral. Lineage: Eukaryota; Viridiplantae; Streptophyta; Magnoliopsida; Poales; Poaceae.